Non-coding RNA from Perognathus longimembris pacificus (Pacific pocket mouse), 651 nucleotides. Lineage: Eukaryota; Metazoa; Chordata; Mammalia; Rodentia; Heteromyidae. The record is from the annotation of a RefSeq genome assembly.
AUGGACAUGAGGGUCCCUGCUCAGCUCCUGGGGCUCCUGCUGCUUUGGAUCCUAGAUGCCAGAGGUGGUAUCCAGAUGACCCAGUCUCCAUCCCCCCUCUCUACAUCUCUAGGAGAGAGGGCUGCUCACACCCUGUGCAGCAGUCAGUCCCAGUUAGCGCCCAGCAUGGACAUGAGGACCCCUGCUCAGCUCCUGGGGCUCCUGCUGCUCUGGUUGCCAGGUGCCAGAUGUGACAUCCAGCUGACCCAGUCUCCAGCCUCCCUAUCUGCAUCUCCAAGCGACACAGUCUCCAUCACUUGCCGGGCCAGUAGGGACAUUAGCAAAAGUUUAAACUGGUAUCAGCAGAAACCAGGGAAAGCUCCUACGCUCCUCAUUUAUUACACAUCCAGUUUGUCCUCUGGAGUUCCAUCAAGGUUCAGUGGCAGUGGAUCUGGGACAGAGUUCACUCUCACCAUCAGCAGCCUGCAGCCUGAAGAUGUUGCCACUUAUUACUGUCAACAGUAUAGGAAUUGGCCUCCCACAGUGAUACAAGCCAUAACCCAGAACACAGAGCUGCUCGCACUGUCCAUUGAGCCGUGCAUGGGUGAGGACCAGCCAUCCGAUGAACACAACAUGGACAACCAGGAAAAACCCAACGUGGCUUCCACGUAG